GUUUCAGUAUUUAGAUUUCAAGGCUGUAUUUCGAAAACUUCGAAAAUACUGCUGCUGAUAUCAGCCAAAUAAUAGGAUCAAUACGCGAGUCCCGAUAAAGCACACAAAGCACUCUACCAGAAAUCCCAAUACCAAUCGAACUUGAUUUUUUAGGUGUAAAAAAAGUGUUUAGGCCCGUUACAAGAACAAAACCUUUUGCACUUAAGUUAGAAUCCUUGAAUGAUCCUUCCGCAGGUUCACCUACGGAAA
Molecule: unclassified non-coding RNA, 249 nt
Filed under: uncultured fungus
Lineage: Eukaryota; Fungi
Description: sequence contains ITS1
Source: RNAcentral